Molecule: transfer RNA, 69 nt
Filed under: Nothocricetulus migratorius (Armenian hamster)
Lineage: Eukaryota; Metazoa; Chordata; Mammalia; Rodentia; Cricetidae
Description: tRNA-Gly
Rfam family: tRNA
About the family: Transfer RNA (tRNA) molecules are approximately 80 nucleotides in length. Their secondary structure includes four short double-helical elements and three loops (D, anti-codon, and T loops). Further hydrogen bonds mediate the characteristic L-shaped molecular structure. tRNAs have two regions of fundamental functional importance: the anti-codon, which is responsible for specific mRNA codon recognition, and the 3' end, to which the tRNAs corresponding amino acid is attached (by aminoacyl-tRNA synthetases). tRNAs cope with the degeneracy of the genetic code in two manners: having more than one tRNA (with a specific anti-codon) for a particular amino acid; and 'wobble' base-pairing, i.e. permitting non-standard base-pairing at the 3rd anti-codon position.
Source: RNAcentral
ACUUUCUUAGUAUAGUUAGUACAACUGACUUCCAAUCAGUUAGCUCUGAACCCACCCCAGAAGAAAGUA